GAUGAACGCUGGCGGCGUGCUUAACACAUGCAAGUCGAACGGAGAUAUCAUGUGAGCGGAGAGUGCUUGCACUUAACAAUCUUUUGAUAUCUUAGUGGCGGACGGGUGAGUAACGCGUGGGUAACCUGCCUCAUACAGGGGGAUAACACUUAGAAAUAGGUGCUAAUACCGCAUAAGCGCACAGUAUCGCAUGAUACAGUGUGAAAAACUCCGGUGGUAUGAGAUGGACCCGCGUCUGAUUAGCUAGUUGGUGAGGUAACGGCCCACCAAGGCGACGAUCAGUAGCCGGCCUGAGAGGGUGAACGGCCACAUUGGGACUGAGACACGGCCCAAACUCCUACGGGAGGCAGCAGUGGGGAAUAUUGCACAAUGGGGGAAACCCUGAUGCAGCGACGCCGCGUGAGUGAAGAAGUAUUUCGGUAUGUAAAGCUCUAUCA
This 437-nucleotide ribosomal RNA is filed under the name uncultured bacterium. RNAcentral describes it as "bacterial SSU rRNA". It matches the Rfam family "Bacterial small subunit ribosomal RNA", at positions 28 to 438 of the family's 1533-position model. The record is from RNAcentral.